This 223-nucleotide unclassified non-coding RNA is filed under the name Hevea brasiliensis (rubber tree). The record is from RNAcentral. Lineage: Eukaryota; Viridiplantae; Streptophyta; Magnoliopsida; Malpighiales; Euphorbiaceae.
CAGCCAUUUGAUCUGUAAUUGCUUUUGUGUGCUAAGAGGUAACUUGAUUUACAUACAAUCAUCAUAUCAUGAUUUCACGAGUCUUGUUUUAUAUACAAAUUGAUUAAUACUCUGCAAACAAUAUCGUUCCACACACUAGCUUGUACCCUUGUACAUUCUAUCAAUGGCACUCACCUUACCUAGGUUAUUCCCAUCACAAAAGCAAUUACAGAUCAAAUGGCUG